Small nuclear RNA from Lynx canadensis (Canada lynx), 104 nucleotides. The record is from Ensembl. NCBI's taxonomy places the organism in Eukaryota, Metazoa, Chordata, Mammalia, Carnivora, Felidae.
GUGCUCUCUUUAGCAGCACACACCCGAAAAUUGGAACAAUACAGAGAUUAGCAUGGCCCCUGCAUAAGGAUGACAUGCAAAGUCGUCAAGUGUUCCAUGUUUGG